CCCCAGACUCCUACGGGAGGCAGCAGUGGGGAAUAUUGCACAAUGGGGGAAACCCUGAUGCAGCGACGCCGCGUGAGUGAAGAAGUAUUUCGGUAUGUAAAGCUCUAUCAGCAGGGAAGAAAAUGACGGUACCUGACUAAGAAGCCCCGGCUAACUACGUGCCAGCAGCCGCGGUAAUACGUAGGGGGCAAGCGUUAUCCGGAUUUACUGGGUGUAAAGGGAGCGUAGACGGCAUGGCAAGUCAGAUGUGAAAGCCCGGGGCUCAAUCCCGGGACUGCAUUUGAAACUGUCAGGCUGGAGUGCAGGAGAGGUAAGUGGAAUUCCUAGUGUAGCGGUGAAAUGCGUAGAUAUUAGGAGGAACACCAGUGGCGAAGGCGGCUUACUGGACUGUAACUGACGUUGAGGCUCGAAAGCGUGGGGAGCAAACAGGAUUAGAUACCCCCGUA
Molecule: ribosomal RNA, 446 nt
Filed under: uncultured bacterium
Lineage: Bacteria
Description: bacterial SSU rRNA
Rfam family: Bacterial small subunit ribosomal RNA
Source: RNAcentral